Molecule: long non-coding RNA, 1158 nt
Filed under: Canis lupus familiaris (dog)
Lineage: Eukaryota; Metazoa; Chordata; Mammalia; Carnivora; Canidae
Description: lncRNA (ENSCAFG00030011209.1)
Source: RNAcentral
AUGGGUGCCUGGGGUCCUGGGGAGGGGGCCAGGGAAGGCCCCCGUUUUGCAGCAGCGCUGGGAAGGGUCUCGUUGGCCAGUCUUGGGGGGGGGGGAUCCUUGCCCGGCGGGCCCGUCUGUGCCCACACCUUCCUUCCCAGCGCCCGGCGAGAUGCCUUAGUCUGCGGGGGCAGGCUGGGGUCCCCUUUCCCCCUGUGUCUUAUGGACGUCCUCUGGAUCGUCCCAUCCCUGGCUGGUGCCUCUCACAGAAGGGGGACCGUGGGUCCGGGGGCCCAGGAGGCUGAGGACGCGUCCAGGGGCCUGGAGAGACCCGUGCCCCUCCUCCCCCAAGGAGCUCGGGGCCACUGGGACCUGGUUGCAGCCUCUGAGCUGUGGCAUCGCGAGGGGGGAGGGGGAGGGGCUCCCAGGGACUCGUGCUUUCAGGUGACCCCCCCCCCCUGCCUGGCCUCUUCCUUGUAUUUAAUUAAACCCUUUUUUAAACCCGACUCUGGUGUCUGCGUCGUUUUUGCCUCCUCUGCCUGGAGUCCCUGUGGCCCGGGUCACCGGCCCCCUCCUGGGGACGCGCGUAGCCCCCGCGGCCCUAAGGCCCCGCGGGAGGGGGCUGCCGCCCCGCGCCACCCACGCCCUCGCAGCUGCGCCCCCUCCCGCUCGUUACCCGGCAACCGCGGUGACACUGCGCCCGCCCCCUCCCGCACCCCGCCCCCGCCCGAGCUGGGGAGCCGCGCCUCCCCAGGGCCUGGGACCCCGCCCUCCGCCUGUCCCUGGAGGGGGCUGCACGGGGAGGGGGGGGCGGUGACCGCAGGGGGCCCACAGGCCGGCAGGGCCCUCGCCCCUGCUCCGGAGGCCGCCCAGUCGCACCCCCCUAACCCGUGCUUCACUUCUCCCCCUUUGCGCCCCGCAGGCCCGCGGACAUUGCUCCUCGGGCCCCUGUCCUACUGGCCCCCUCCCUCUCCAGCUGCCUUUUCCGCCCCUUGGGGAGAGUCCCUGGAAUUCGGGGCGCACGCACGCAGCCCCCCCUCCCGCCUCUCGGACACGGUCCCACGGGCUCCGAACAGCCCGAGGGGGUCCCCUCCUACCGUCUGGGCGCUCCCCGGUCACGCGGCCUCGGGACCCCUGACUCUCCCGGGUCCCCCCAACCGCGGGCUCCGGCCCCCCUAG